GAUGAACGCUGGCGGCGUGCCUAAUACAUGCAAGUCGAGCGAACGGACGAGAAGCUUGCUUCUCUGAUGUUAGCGGCGGACGGGUGAGUAACACGUGGAUAACCUACCUAUAAGACUGGGAUAACUUCGGGAAACCGGAGCUAAUACCGGAUAAUAUUUUGAACCGCAUGGUUCAAAAGUGAAAGACGGUCUUGCUGCCACUUAUAGAUGGAUCCGCGCUGCAUUAGCUAGUUGGUAAGGUAACGGCUUACCAAGGCAACGAUGCAUAGCCGACCUGAGAGGGUGAUCGGCCACACUGGAACUGAGACACGGUCCAGACUCCUACGGGAGGCAGCAGUAGGGAAUCUUCCGCAAUGGGCGAAAGCCUGACGGAGCAACGCCGCGUGAGUGAUGAAGGUCCUCGGAUCGUAAAACUCUGUUAUUAGGGAAGAACAUAUGUGUAAGUAACUGUGCACAUCUUGACGGUACCUAAUCAGAAAGCCACGGCUAACUACGUG
This 497-nucleotide ribosomal RNA is filed under the name uncultured bacterium. RNAcentral's name for it is "partial 16S ribosomal RNA". It matches the Rfam family "Bacterial small subunit ribosomal RNA", at positions 28 to 507 of the family's 1533-position model. The record is from RNAcentral.